RNAcentral lists this ribosomal RNA (954 nucleotides) under Triticum aestivum (bread wheat). Its description in RNAcentral is "partial small subunit ribosomal RNA". Lineage: Eukaryota; Viridiplantae; Streptophyta; Magnoliopsida; Poales; Poaceae. The record is from RNAcentral.
AUGUCGACGGCCAUCCGCAAGCGCCCGGCGGAGGGACAAGAACUGCGCGUCCAUGGCGGCAAGAAGCCCCGAUACGCGUUUGGAAGCAUCUCCGACUACAAGAAGCUUGAGGUGCUUGGAGAAGGCACCUACGGCGAGGUGUUCAAGGCGCGUGACCGCCGCACCGGCAAGAAAGUCGCCGUGAAGUGGGUCCGCGGCAACGGGGCCGGCAGGCACGGCCCGCCCGACAUCCGCGCGAUCACGCGCGAGGCCGGCUGCCUCGCGGCGUGCCGGGGUCACGAGUUGAUUAUCGAGAUCUUGGAUGUGGCGACGGACGCCAAGACAGGGGAUGUGUUCCUCGUCAUGGAGCUCGUCGCCGACGGCCGCACCCUGCGCGAGUCACUCUGGAGGCCUGUAUCCGAGGAGGGGACCCGCGUGAUGAUGGAGCAGCUCCUGGACGCGGCCAGGAAGAUACAUGGAGCCGGCGUCAUCCAUCGGGACUUUAAGCCGGAGAACGUCAUGGUCGGCUUCUUCGGCGGGCUCAAGGUUGGUGACUUUGGGUCGGCGAUGCGGGCGAAGCCGGACGGAGUGCCCUAUGAGGAGUGCUGCGUCGGCACCCUGAUUUACACCUCGCCGGAGCAGCUGGAAGGCAACCGGUACUACGGCCAGGCCGUGGACAUGUGGGCGCUUGGGUGCAUCAUGGCGGAGAUGUUGACCGGCGGGACCCUCUUCGUGGCGGAGACAGAGGAGGAGCUGCUCGCCGAGAUGUACAAGCUGCGAGACCAUAUCACUUCUACGGGGAAGCUGGAUUUGGAGUUCUUGGAGGAGCUUUCAGAAGCCGGGCGUGAGGUCCUGACCGGCCUGCUUGCCUUCAACCCCGACGAGAGGUUGACGGCGGCGGAAGCGCUCGAGCACCGGUGGUUCAGCAAGCCCAAGGCAGCAGAGCACCCUGGCUUUGUGUCGCUGAUGAGUUAA